GCUGUGCAUGAAUGUUUACAGAAACAGUUCUUAAUAAUAUAUUUAUAUGUAUUUACAGACAUUCUUCUCCUUAUGGGCUGUUGGCUCAGAUCGCGCCUACUCAGGCACAGACGCCUCCAAACUCUCCGCAAAAUAAAGCAGACACUGUGGAGAAGAUGGACGUCGACUGUUGUUCUGUUUCUCAACAUUCAUCUAUCAGUCGGCCAAUCCAACACUCGUCUCCUCCCACUUCUCCUCCUCAGCGUCCCUCUGGAAAACGUCCGCUUCCUUGGACAUUACAG
Misgurnus anguillicaudatus (oriental weatherfish) is the source of this 281-nucleotide non-coding RNA. The record is from RefSeq and is a predicted model, not a curated record. NCBI's taxonomy places the organism in Eukaryota, Metazoa, Chordata, Actinopteri, Cypriniformes, Cobitidae.